ACGAGGAUCCAUUGGAGAGCAAGUCUGGUGCCAGCAGUCGCGGUAAUUCCAGCUCCAAUAGCGUAUAUUAAAGUUGUUGCGGUUAAAAAGCUCGUAGUUGGAUCUCAGCUCCGGCCGGACGGUCCGCCUACCGGUGGUUACUGUUCGCUGCCGAGCGUUCAGGGGGCUUCGUCCUAUGAUCUUCACCGGUUGUCGGUCGGGGCCCCCACGUUUACUUUGAAAAAAUUAGAGUGCUCAAAGCAGGCGCGACGCCUGAAUAAUUGUGCAUGGAAUAAUGGAAUAGGACCUCGGUUCUAUUUUGUUGGUUUUCGGAACACGAGGUAAUGAUUAAGAGGGACAGACGGGGGCAUUCGUAUUGCGACGCUAGAGGUGAAAUUCUUGGACCGUCGCAAGACGAACUACUGCGAAAGCAUUUGCCAAGAAUGUUUCCAUUAAUCAAGAACGAAAGUUAGAGGUUCGAAGGCGAUCAGAUACCGCCCUAGUUCUAACCAUAAACGAUGCCAGCCAGCGAUCCGGCUGUGUUCCU
This 526-nucleotide ribosomal RNA is filed under the name Cyrtophora moluccensis. RNAcentral's name for it is "SSU rRNA". It matches the Rfam family "Eukaryotic small subunit ribosomal RNA", at positions 537 to 1067 of the family's 1831-position model. The record is from RNAcentral. Lineage: Eukaryota; Metazoa; Arthropoda; Arachnida; Araneae; Araneidae.